This 127-nucleotide non-coding RNA is filed under the name Rahnella aquatilis. RNAcentral's name for it is "TPP sequence". It matches the Rfam family "TPP riboswitch aptamer (THI element)". Rfam says of the family: Vitamin B(1) in its active form thiamin pyrophosphate (TPP) is an essential coenzyme that is synthesised by coupling of pyrimidine and thiazole moieties in bacteria. The previously detected thiamin-regulatory element, thi box was extended, resulting in a new, highly conserved RNA secondary structure, the THI element, which is widely distributed in eubacteria and also occurs in some archaea. Lineage: Bacteria; Pseudomonadati; Pseudomonadota; Gammaproteobacteria; Enterobacterales; Yersiniaceae. The record is from RNAcentral. RNAcentral also lists the same sequence under 1 other name.
GGCUUCUUGUCGGAGUGCCUAGCGCAUAAUCUUCUCAUGGAGAUUACGCCAGGCUGAGACCGUUAAUUCGGGAUCCGCGGAACCUGAUCGGGUUAGUACCCGCGAAGGGAACAAGAGUAAUGUUAUG